AAAACUUUCAACAACGGAUCUCUUGGCUCUGGCAUCGAUGAAGAACGCAGCGAAAUGCGAUAAGUAAUGUGAAUUGCAGAAUUCAGUGAAUCAUCGAAUCUUUGAACGCACAUUGCGCCCGCCAGUAUUCUGGCGGGCAUGCCUGUUCGAGCGUCAUU
This 158-nucleotide ribosomal RNA is filed under the name Fusarium oxysporum. Its description in RNAcentral is "5.8S ribosomal RNA". It matches the Rfam family "5.8S ribosomal RNA". From Rfam's summary of the family: 5.8S ribosomal RNA (5.8S rRNA) is a component of the large subunit of the eukaryotic ribosome. It is transcribed by RNA polymerase I as part of the 45S precursor that also contains 18S and 28S rRNA. RNAcentral also lists the same sequence under 92 other names. Lineage: Eukaryota; Fungi; Ascomycota; Sordariomycetes; Hypocreales; Nectriaceae. The record is from RNAcentral.